GCGAGAGUGGCGGAACUGGUAGACGCACUGGCCUUAGGAGCCAGCGGCCAUCAGCCGUAGGGGUUCGAGUCCCCUCUCUCGCACCA
RNAcentral lists this transfer RNA (86 nucleotides) under Pseudomonadota bacterium. Its description in RNAcentral is "Proteobacteria bacterium (groundwater metagenome) tRNA-Leu". It matches the Rfam family "tRNA". From Rfam's summary of the family: Transfer RNA (tRNA) molecules are approximately 80 nucleotides in length. Their secondary structure includes four short double-helical elements and three loops (D, anti-codon, and T loops). Lineage: Bacteria; Pseudomonadati; Pseudomonadota. The record is from RNAcentral.